Cebus imitator (Panamanian white-faced capuchin) is the source of this 123-nucleotide small nucleolar RNA. The record is from Ensembl. Lineage: Eukaryota; Metazoa; Chordata; Mammalia; Primates; Cebidae.
GUUCUCUUUUAAGGCUGACCCAAUGCUUUAAGAGGCUGACACAGAAGGGUAAAGUUAAGUCUCCACAAAAUCCAGGAAAGAGACUGUGAAACUCCUCUUAGUAUCCUGUCUGAAGUCACAGCU